AUUUACAUAUGUGUGUGUGUGACUGCUGCACACACUUUAAGAGCUGUAGUGCUGAUCAGAGUGUGUUCAGUCCUUUCAGAGCCACUGACACGCAGCACAAUGAUGAUGGUACUGAUUCUACUGCUGGGGACACUGGGACUCCUCGCUCACCAGUCCUUUGGGGAAAUCGUCCUGACUCAGUCUCCAGGAUCUCAGACUGUUUCUCCAGGAGACACUGUUACUCUCAGCUGUACAACCAGUCAGAGUGUUAGCAGUAACCUCGCCUGGUACCUGCAGAAACCUGGAGAAGCUCCUAAACUCCUGAUCUAUGCUGCAACUUCUCGUCAGUCUGGGAUUCCAGAUCGUUUCAGUGGCAGUGGAUCUGGUACACAGUUUAGUCUAAAAAUCUCUGGAGUUCAGGCUGAAGAUGCAGGAGAUUAUUACUGUCAGCAGGGUUACAGCUAUCCGUACACACAGUGUUAUAGCGCCGUACAAAAACCUCCCUCAGCUGUAGAGGAAGUGCUCUGAGUCAGAAACACACACUGAUCCGCUCCAAACCAGCAGUCACAUAUUGCAAGGUUUGAACUAUAUUGAAACAGAGUGAAAUAAGUCUGUGAUUAUUUACUAUAUUUCCUUUCUUAUUGGUCUUUACAAUCAGGAUGAUGGUCAGAUGGUCAUUAAUAAACUUCUGCUCAUUGGAAAUCAGUUGAAUUUUAAUUAAUUCCCAUCUUGGUGUAGUGCUACUGAGCUCAAACAUUUCCAACAACAUUGAUCUGAUAUAAUAUUUUAUUGGUUUGUUUGGGAAAUAUUUUAAUAUAGAUAGUAGAAUAAUAGAGAGAAACUCAUCUCAAAUGUUUGAUUGAGAGUUUCCACCC
Non-coding RNA from Silurus meridionalis, 854 nucleotides. The record is from the annotation of a RefSeq genome assembly. Lineage: Eukaryota; Metazoa; Chordata; Actinopteri; Siluriformes; Siluridae.